Molecule: ribosomal RNA, 307 nt
Filed under: uncultured Navicula
Lineage: Eukaryota; Bacillariophyta; Bacillariophyceae; Naviculales; Naviculaceae
Description: partial small subunit ribosomal RNA
Rfam family: Eukaryotic small subunit ribosomal RNA
Source: RNAcentral
UAGCGUAUAUUAAAGUUGUUGCAGUUAAAAAGCUCGUAGUUGGAUUUGUGGCGUACGGUGGGUUCCGGGCAUUUUUUGCCUGAGUAACUUGCUGUUGCCAUCCUUGGGUGGAACCUGUGUGGCAUUAGGUUGUCGUGCAGGGGAUGCCCAUCAUUUACUGUGAAAAAAUUAGAGUGUUCAAAGCAGGCUUAUGCCGUUGAAUAUAUUAGCAUGGAAUAAUGAGAUAGGACUUUUUUGCUAUUUUGUUGGUUUGCGCAAAGAGGUAAUGAUUAAUAGGGACAGUUGGGGGUAUUCGUAUUCCAUUGUC